This 586-nucleotide ribosomal RNA is filed under the name Hippoglossina stomata (bigmouth flounder). Its description in RNAcentral is "partial large subunit ribosomal RNA". It matches the Rfam family "Bacterial large subunit ribosomal RNA", at positions 1822 to 2597 of the family's 2925-position model. Lineage: Eukaryota; Metazoa; Chordata; Actinopteri; Pleuronectiformes; Paralichthyidae. The record is from RNAcentral.
CUUGCAAAUUCCCAGUAUAAGAGGUCCCGCCUGCCCAGUGACAAUAUAGUUCAACGGCCGCGGUAUUUUGACCGUGCUAAGGUAGCGUAAUCACUUGUCUUUUAAAUGAAGACCCGUAUGAAUGGCAUAACGAGGGCUUAACUGUCUCCUUCCCCUGGUCAAUGAAAUUGAUCUCCCCGUGCAGAAGCGGGGAUAAGUACAUAAGACGAGAAGACCCUAUGGAGCUUUAGAUACUAAGGCAGACCAUGUUAAAUGUACCCUCCCACGGACCUACAAACCAAAUGAAAUCUGUCUUAAUGUCUUCGGUUGGGGCGACCAUGGGGAACACAAAACCCCCACGUGGAAAAGGAGGACACCCCAGUAUUCCCACCCUCCUACAAAUCAGAGCAACAGCUCAAAUUAGCAGAAAUUCUGACCAUACUGAUCCGGCAACGCCGAUCAACGAACCAAGUUACCCUAGGGAUAACAGCGCAAUCCCCUUUUAGAGCCCAUAUCGACAAGGGGGUUUACGACCUCGAUGUUGGAUCAGGACAUCCUAAUGGUGCAGCCGCUAUUAAGGGUUCGUUUGUUCAACGAUUAAAGUCCU